GACGAACCGUGCGAACGUUGUUCGGAUUCACUGGGCUUAAAGGGCGCGUAGGCGGGUGUUCAAGUCCGGGGUGAAAUCCUCCAGCUUAACUGGAGAACUGCCCCGGAUACUGAUCGCCUCGAGGGAGAUAGGGGCAUGUGGAACUUCGGGUGGAGCGGUGAAAUGCGUAGAUAUCCGAAGGAACGCCGGUGGCGAAAGCGACGUGCUGGAUCUCUUCUGACGCUGAGGCGCGAAAGCUAGGGGAGCAAACGGG
This 253-nucleotide ribosomal RNA is filed under the name uncultured bacterium. RNAcentral's name for it is "partial 16S ribosomal RNA". It matches the Rfam family "Bacterial small subunit ribosomal RNA", at positions 524 to 776 of the family's 1533-position model. The record is from RNAcentral.